Molecule: non-coding RNA, 567 nt
Organism: Chlorocebus sabaeus (green monkey)
Lineage: Eukaryota; Metazoa; Chordata; Mammalia; Primates; Cercopithecidae
Source: RefSeq, a predicted model, not a curated record
CAGAGCCCCGCCCCCGGGCCGGCCUAUCUCCGACCAGCCGCUGACCUUGGGUAGCCUAAGUGAGCUGCGGAGCUCCUCGACUGCAGAAGAGUUCUAGGGUGGCACACCCCUACAUAUUGGCGGCAACUGAUAUGCUUGAAUACACACACGAUAGGGAAGCGGUGGAAAAUAUGGGAAAUUUAAAAUGGACAGGUGGCCGCGCGAUCACCCAGUGUGCUUCUAGCACGCAGUUUCCACCACCUGGGUCCGCUACUAAAGCGAGUGCCUCCAGGACAGGGAAGACCCCAGCAGCCCGGUGAUGCAAAAUAAACUGGUAAGACUAACAUUUACUAAGUGCUCCUUUGUUCCUCUGUGUCACUUAAUCCUCAUGGCAAUCUUAUUGUUUUUAUCCCCAUAAUACAGAUAAAGAAACUGAGGCCCAGAGAUGCAUGUUAUCUGAAGUGCCAGAGCCCAGGGUCUUGAACUCAAACUGAUUCCAGUUAGAAUAAAUGAAUGAGGCUGGGCCUGGUAGCUCAUGCCUGUAAUCCCAGAACUUUGGGAGGCUGAGGCAGGCAGAUUACUUGAGGU